CAGUCGCCGCGGUAAUACGAAGGGGGCUAGCGUUGUUCGGAAUCACUGGGCGUAAAGCGCACGUAGGCGGAUUUUUAAGUCAGGGGUGAAAUCCCGAGGCUCAACCUCGGAACUGCCUUUGAUACUGGGAGUCUUGAGUUCGAGAGAGGUGAGUGGAAUUGCGAGUGUAGAGGUGAAAUUCGUAGAUAUUCGCAGGAACACCAGUGGCGAAGGCGGCUCACUGGCUCGAUACUGACGCUGAGGUGCGAAAGCGUGGGGAGCAAACAGGAUUAGAUACCCCCGUAGUCCCUGUCUCUUAUAC
RNAcentral lists this ribosomal RNA (301 nucleotides) under uncultured bacterium. RNAcentral's name for it is "partial 16S ribosomal RNA". It matches the Rfam family "Bacterial small subunit ribosomal RNA", at positions 509 to 807 of the family's 1533-position model. The record is from RNAcentral.